GCUCGGAUGAACUCCGGUGGUCCGGGGUACAGGCUUCAAUUUUAACAGCUGGAGAUACCUGUGGACGACUGACGUCGUAGCGGUUCGAUUCCGCCUUCCGAGC
Molecule: transfer RNA, 103 nt
Filed under: Ramazzottius varieornatus
Lineage: Eukaryota; Metazoa; Tardigrada; Eutardigrada; Parachela; Ramazzottiidae
Description: Selenocysteine transfer RNA
Rfam family: Selenocysteine transfer RNA
Source: Rfam by way of RNAcentral